Molecule: RNA transcript, 4313 nt
Organism: Acipenser ruthenus (sterlet)
Lineage: Eukaryota; Metazoa; Chordata; Actinopteri; Acipenseriformes; Acipenseridae
Exons: 2
Source: RefSeq, a predicted model, not a curated record
UAGGAGGGGUAGGGUUAGCUUUAGAGUUAGGGUUAGGGUUAGGGUUAAGGUUAGGAUUUGGGUUAUAUCGUGCAACAUUAAGUGCAUUGUAACUGCAUAAUAACAUUGGAACUGUGUAAGUACACAUGUAUUUACUAAGUAACUACUAUGUAAACACACAGUAAUUAGAGACACUGCAAAGUGCAUUUGCAUUCACUGCAGACAAGGAAUUACAACAGUACAACAUCACCUUUGAGACACGUGCAAACCAGUUUGCUUGAUUAAAUUGCAUUUAUUUUUUUCCCUCUAAAGACUAGAAGAAAAUACAGAAUAAACAGAAGUACUCAACAUGGAAAGGCCUCGUCCAAUGAGAAUCCUGCUCUCCUGAGUGAUCCGAGUCCACUGGAGAUAUUCCAGCCACGGCGGCACCCCUGCAGUCAGAUCCACCUCCAGCAGGGGGCGCUGAGACAGACAGGACACACACAACUGUAACAAACCAUCAGGGCCCUCAUAGGUAGAUUUAAAAUCGUGAACACGAUACAGAAACCACAAGCCAUGCGUUCAAGUGCUUUGAUAGUUGAUAGUUUUGAAAAGAAACUCCAGAGUUUCAUUUAAUUCCCAGGUAUAACUCCCGAGAAGCUGAAUUUCUUUGGUGGCAGAAGUUUCCUUGAAGGCAGGAGAAGUAGUGGUAGCUGCAUCAGCAGGAUUGAGAUAAAGUAAAGAAUAUGUAUAUACCAGAAUAUGCCGCUUGUCAAGAGGGGCAAGCUAAGAUGCAGUCACACGUUUUCCUAAGGAACUAAAACAAUCUGUGAGACACCCUGUACAUUUACCUCCUUAGCACAGUGGUGUUUUUCAACAGCAGAACCAUAGGCUGUCAUGUAAAGCAAUUCAGGCAAGGCUUUAAUAUUCACCAGUAAUUACAAUAGUUACUAAACCAUUAGCGUAAAUAGUCAGCAAUGCAUUGAUAAAUGUUGUUAUAAAGAUGUUAGAAAUUAAUAUUAACACUGAUAAUUACUGUAUAACAGACCAAAGCAAUACAUGGUUAUAAGAACAUCGAACUGAGGCAUUUUAAAGGAAACCUUGUCAUUGCUUUAUGACACAAUGCUUUACACUAGUAAUGUGUUCUUCACAUGUUAUUACUUCAUCAAAACAUGUAAUAACAUGCCAAGACAUUUUAGAAAUGGAUUCUUAAAUGAACACAUAAUCAAGGUUAUCUAUUCAUUUCAUUUAUUAUCCUAGACCUGGCUUCAAGAGCUGUUGCUGGGGACCUGGGUCAUUACUGUAUUAAUUACUCUUUAAUUCCUAGUGGUUAUUGCUUGGGUAAUAUAAAGCUUGACCACAAUGUCAUUCUAUCUCUGAAUCCACAUUGCUAUGGAGAGAAGCACAUCGCAAACAAGCUUGACACAGACUUGAAGUGUCGGGUGAGAGGUAUUGCGGUCUUUGGUCCCUGGAUUUACUCACCAAACACCCAGGAAAAAAGCCAACUAUUAUCAUUUUGUUUAUUCUCAAGAUGUUACAAGUCAUCGGGUAGUGUUUAAGACAGGACUCGGCAGAUUUAUUUAGAACACUUCUAUUUGGGGGGCGGGGGGAAUGGAGGUUAAGGUCCUUGUGCAAAGAAAUCUUAUUUUAAAAUAGACUUUUAUCCAAAUAGACUUGCAUGACAACAAUCCUGCCUAUUAAAUCCAGCACCGCGACAAUUCAUGCCACACUUACUGAGUCGCUUCAUAUUAGACGGGACAAGUCCAUCAAGGACGUGUUUUUUUUUUUUAUAUAUUGUAAAGAUCAAAGAUGUCGUUUUCUAACUUUGCUUAAUAUUGUUAUUAGCUUCAUCUGUGAAACGUCCUCGCUGCGAUGAGCUUGGACAUGGGGAGGCAGAGGGCUUUACCUGCAGGAUCUGCAUUACACAUUUAUAAGGCAACAAGGCCUCCUUGGAGGGUAUCAGGGCUAGUAAGAACCAAAAAUAGAAAUCCUUCCUGCAUCCCACUUAUUGAGAGUAAACAUCUCUUAUUCCAUAUCAUUAAUACUGAGUACGGAGGCGCCUAACUUUAAGAACCCAAAUGAAGGGGGUCCCUGAAUGGCUCACCUGGUAAAAGCAUUGCCGCGUGGCGUGCAGUGUGAGUCAUACAACCAGAGAUCGCAAGUUUGAAUCCUGGUUGUGCGAGGCAGCCGGUCCUCGCUAGAGAUUCCGUGGGGGGCGCUGCAUUGGCUUUGGUGCUCCUGGAGUUGGGGAGGUGGGAUCAGGCUUAGACUGUUUCUCCUAACCAUUCUGCAGCGAUCCCUGCAGGCCAGGCGCCGAGUGAGCUUGGGGGCGGAGGUUUGCUGGGCUGGUCUUUGUCCUCCAGAGGCUGGUAGCCUGCAGACAUCUGCUCUCGAGUUCCUGGGUGUAAAAAGACGCCGAUUGGCUUGUGGGAUCGGAGGACGCCCACUGAGCCUCGGGUCCCUGAGCUGUGUGGGGAAUCACUGCGGUGACAAAGAAACAACAAUAAUAAUAAUAAUUUGGCAUUCCAAAUUGGGAGAAAAUCGGGGGUAAAAAUAAUUGGAGAUUCUAAAAAAAAAAAAAAAAGAACUCAAAUGAAGCUGCAGACAGUUAUUAACUACUGUAACAAACUAACUCACUAAUCAAUAUGAAACAGUCAUGCUUUUCACAUAACUAAAGAUAUAAGAUGCAAUGUUGGAAAAUGUGUCACACCAAACGCAUAACGCUGUACAGUUUUGAGGCCUUUUUUUUACCCAGGUAUCGCUUACAGGGCUGAAUUAGAGACUUUGUUCUGCACGUGAUUCAUAGAAUAUAAGCACAUCUGCCAUGCGGAGUCUGGGAUACUUGUUGAACAAGCAUUUUACCAGUGAAAGGAAUACUAGACAGUAGUUAAACUGACUGCAGUUUGAGAAAGCAGAGGAAGGCUACAGGCUGACCACGGGCGCUGCAAUGGGAGUAGCUCCUCUAGGAUAGUGGGAUGAAGACUCAAUGUGAGAGCAUCUUUGCUCUCAUGAAUGUAUUUUUUUACUGUUUCACACACACACCACCAGCAUACCUGGUUGAAGAUGUUCACAUUCAUCCAGUAACCCUGCCAUCACAAGGCCAGAGCAUGUGUUUUACAGCAAGGUGGUGUUAAACAUUUCUGUACAACACGGUUUCUUCCAAGUUCAAGUUCAAGUCUAGAGAGUUCCAGAACACAAUGGGCUCAGUUAACAAGGGCUGUUUCAGGGGCUGUUUUUCUGAGAGUCUCUUGGAUUAAACAGUGCUUUGAAAAGCAACUCUAAAAAAACAAUUGAACUUCAAAAUUGGUUUAAAUAAUCAAAAUGGGCUUGUUUUGUCAAUUGGGCCAAAUUGUUCAGAAUGAUUUUCUGUGUUUUAUUCUUUCCUAUUGUUCUGAAUGUGGCAUCCCUCUCCCUGUUUACACAUGUCUUUCCUGUCUGCUGUUGGUAACACUUCAGAUUGAACGUGCCCUAAGCAAGUGGAAGGAGGCCCUGGAAGCAAGAACCAGUCGAUUUUAAAGCUAAAAUAAAAUGAGUGAUUUCAGUGGUAUUGAUUCCCAGUCUUCUUCCUGCACAGCAGCCAGUUCCUCUCUUUAUAAGACCAGCCUGCAUGGGAAAAGAUCUGCCCUCUCUAAAGAGUUUCCCCUUCAAGGGGUCAGGACUUCUUUGGAAAGAAGAAGACAUGCAAAAAAGAAGCAGGUUGCUAUUACACAGGACUGUCGUGCUCUGGCAUUUGCUUGAUCAUAAUUUUAAAAGAAGGAUAACAAAUCCACAGACAAGCACCACUUUGUACAGUGUCUCUAAUAUAAUUAUAUUGGAUAUAUCUGUCAAAAAUUUCUUAUGUAAAAUUUUUUAAUUAUCCUAAAAAGAUCCAGAAUUCCCUUUUCAUUAGAUUAGUAUAAACUAAGUGUAGUGAAAGCAUGGUAAAACAUAGGUAAACACUGUAAAGCACAGAGGUGUGGGGAAAUUUAAAAAAUAAACAAAAGAUAUAUACUGUACCAUGGUAAAUGACUAAUAAAAUGCAUGGGAUAACUGCAAAAUGCAGGUGCAAAUGUACUAUGUAAACUGUAGGAAAGGCAGAGUAAUCCAGUCUGUUUGUACAUUUCUCUCAGGAGCAGCCCACUCAGUGCUUAUCUUAGCUAUUUGCUGGUAAGGACUCUUCAGAUCCAGUACAGCUUUUUCACUGUUCAAUGGUACUGUAGUUCACAUGCGUUAUGAGUGGUAUCACUUCCAUUGAUGUUACAUUUACAAUGUUAAUUGCUUUUCUCUCACAAAGCAUUGAUAAUCAAUUGCGAUUUUUAAAUGUUCACCCUGUUAUGUAAAUGUACAGUAUAAAUAAAUAUAUUUCUGAUUAAACA